GAGUUUAAUACAGCUGAAUCUAACUAUGUCUGAAAAUAGCCUCUAAACUAGACUAGAAAUACUGGGACAAGCCCCAGUUUUAUCUAGCAAAAACUGAAACUAAAUGACUAAAGACUGAAAUGAAACUCAUGAUUGUUGUCCUCGGAGAAUGAGGACUCACCACUGAAUCUGCUGAACUGGAGAUCGGAAAAUCGAUCUAUGCGUGAUCUGGAUGGUGAGAACCUGAACCUCAAGCUGGAGUGGAAUCGAAAGGAAAAAGGUAAGCAUACUUG
RNAcentral lists this unclassified non-coding RNA (272 nucleotides) under Hevea brasiliensis (rubber tree). Lineage: Eukaryota; Viridiplantae; Streptophyta; Magnoliopsida; Malpighiales; Euphorbiaceae. The record is from RNAcentral.